UACGUAGGUGGCAAGCGUUAUCCGGAUUUAUUGGGCGUAAAGGGAACGCAGGCGGUCUUUUAAGUCUGAUGUGAAAGCCUUCGGCUUAACCAGAGUAGUGCAUUGGAAACUGGGAGACUUGAGUGCAGAAGAGGAGAGUGGAACUCCAUGUGUAGCGGUGAAAUGCGUAGAUAUAUGGAAGAACACCAGUGGCGAAAGCGGCUCUCUGGUCUGUAACUGACGCUGAGGUUCGAAAGCGUGGGUAGCAAACAGG
Molecule: ribosomal RNA, 253 nt
Filed under: uncultured bacterium
Lineage: Bacteria
Description: partial 16S ribosomal RNA
Rfam family: Bacterial small subunit ribosomal RNA
Source: RNAcentral